Molecule: ribosomal RNA, 253 nt
Filed under: uncultured bacterium
Lineage: Bacteria
Description: partial 16S ribosomal RNA
Rfam family: Bacterial small subunit ribosomal RNA
Source: RNAcentral
UACGUAGGGGGCUAGCGUUGUCCGGAAUCAUUGGGCGUAAAGAGCGUGUAGGCGGUCCGGUAAGUCCGCUGUGAAAGUCCAGGGCUCAACCCUGGAAUGCCGGUGGAUACUGUCGGGCUCGAGUCCGGAAGAGGCGAGUGGAAUUCCUGGUGUAGCGGUGAAAUGCGCAGAUAUCAGGAGGAACACCAAUUGCGAAGGCAGCUCGCUGGGACGUUACUGACGCUGAGACGCGAAAGCGUGGGGAGCAAACAGG